Long non-coding RNA from Equus asinus (donkey), 3539 nucleotides. Lineage: Eukaryota; Metazoa; Chordata; Mammalia; Perissodactyla; Equidae. The record is from Ensembl.
CUAAUUGUUCCAUAGUUUCUAUUGUCCUUUUCUGCCCUCCUUCAAGAAUUUAACUUUCAUUUUCACUUGCCUCCCCUGGAUCACUUUGUGAAGAUCAGGCCCUUGGUUUUUUGGGUGAAUCCUGACCACAUCUGCUACCGGCCUGCCUUCAAAUCUCCAAGGAGACAGGGCUGUUCCGUUGGUGUAUGAAGGAGUGAGACCUGAACCUUGAAAGAGCCAAAAAUGGUUUCCAAGACACUGAAGCAUGCAUUCCGAGUUCCAGAUCUGACUGGGAUGUUGCAAGUUCUUAAAGGUGAUAAGAGCCAGGGGAAUGAUGUGGGUGUGGGAUUCUUGUAGUGUAAGAGUGAAAUAUGGAGGAGUGGAUGUUGUUUCUAGAAGUGGGUGAAAGAGAAGUCGGACCGAGAAGAAAGAGAGCCAUCCUGUGCUGAAGAUGUGAUCAGAUGUAGUAGAGAAUGUCCAGGUUUCUGCUUCGUCUUCUCAUUUUCAAGUUCAUAGCCUCACAGGGCUCCACUUCCCUGGACCCCCUCUAGAAAGAGGAUAGGUAUCAGUGUUUACUCCUUUGGUUCUGACAACAUCAUUGCAAGUUUUGUCUUUUCAGAGCUGACAGAGGGCCAAUGCUACUGAGAUAAGAAUAAAUUUAGGUCUUCAAAUCUCCAUGUUCCGAUCCCUUUUCAGAAGUUGUGGUUACUAAUAGGCCUCAUGAUCUUAGCUUCAUGCAUUCUUCUCCAAACAUACAUAGUACAACAAUCCUUAAGUGUCCUACUCAUCUCUGACCCCUGAACACUAGUUCCUCCUACUCAGCUCCCAGCAUUCAUCCUCCCAAUGUCAAAAGACAUACCCAUUUUCCAUCCCUCACCUGACCCUGUAAUUUUUCCUACAGCCAAUGUGAUGCUAAAUCCGGUCAAUGCUCUUUGAAGUAUUGUCCUAUCUGUGGAUCAGACAAGUCAGAGUUGUGCACACUUUUACAUUGAGGAAUAUAUAUCCAUGUGAUAUUUCUGCAUUUGACAUCUUGGACUGCUAGUGUUUCUCCUCGGGGAAAUAUUGCUGGAAAGAUUGCCUGCGUCGUGAGGGUAUACCAUAAAGCAAGAAACCUCAGUAGAUAUUAGAUCUCUCGGUUUGGUUUUGACCCAAAUGUAAAUUAGACAAAUGUUUAAUCCAGAUACAGACUCUAUAUGGCUACUGGGUUAUAGGGUUACAGAUUUAAUUUGGGUACAAUGUCUUUGUGGACUCUUCCACCUCAGACCUCAAGGUCUUGACUAGUUCCAUAGCUGUUCUUCCCCAUCAGGUUAGGGUUUUCCCAGACGAUGAAGCAGAAAUUGUCUCAUGAUUUUUUUUUUGUUUUGAGGAAGAUUUGCCCUGAGCUAACAUCUGCCAGCAAUCUUCCUCUUUAAUGAGGAAGAUUGGCCCUGAGCCAACAUCUGUUUUCAUCUUCUUCCACCUUACAUGUAAGAUGCAUGCCACAGCAUGGCCUAACAAGGAAUGCACAGGUCUGCACCCCAGAUCUGAGUCAGUGAACCUCACACCACAGAAGUGGAGAAUGCCAACACAAGCACUAUGCCACCAGGCUGGUUCCCUAGACAUUGUUUAAUUUUUCCAUGUCACAAACCAUGGGUCACUCAUCUAGUCCUCUAAAUGUCACUUUUAUCAGAUUGCUUAUCCAUUAUUUCAAUACUUGGAACUUUCCAGCUCCCGUCACUUGGUUCAAACACAGCAUCUGAAACUUCGUCUUCUCUCAUUUGCUUCUUGUAGUGCCCCUUGCCCCGGGUUUCAUCUCUACACCUGAACUCAGCUCCACCAUUUCUACCAUAUCUUCUUUCGUGUCUCCGUUCUUUACUAUAGAACUUUUACACAUCCUUGGGAUGUAAGAGUGUCUGUUUUGAGUUAGGAGAGAUGCUUAUUUACCAUUUAUCCUUUUGUAUAGUCUCAAAGAAAGGUGUCUACUCCCUUAAGAUGGUACAGUAUUGAUAUAACGUGUUGGCCCUACCAUUUCUCCAUAUUUCCCUUUAUCACUGAUCUGAAGAGACAUGGCAAAGCCUGUCUGCCUCCACCCUUGCUAUCUACAACAGUCCAUAAACACCCUCCACCCAUCAUCACCAACUAAGGAGUCUUUGACUGUAUGUCCAUAAGGUGCCCAGGAUACAUGGGAUUAAUCAGGGAGUCAAGGAAAGGAAAAUGUAAACAAUAUAAGUAUGCAGAGUGAAGAUUUUAUGUACAGACUGUUUGAGUUCAAAUCCUGUCUCUUGUUUUACAAGAUGUAUAAUGAUGAAUAAAUUCAGGGUUCCCUUUUCCUAAAAUACAAAUUGGAAUUCAUAACUAUACUUAACUCUUAGAUCCUUGUGUAAAACUCAGUGCCACUCAAUGUAAGGAAGCUAUUUAAGUUCCCUGCAUGGUAAAAUAAAUACUUUCUCUGAUGAUUACUGAAAAGUACACGCUGUGUCAAUAUCCCCUGCCACAGACUUGUGUUCUUCAGAGGAACCAUAGUUGAUUCUACUGAAAUCUCAUUUCUCAAGUUUCUGGACUCCACGGUCAAGACCACUCCAGUUCCAGUCUUCUUCUAUAGAACUUUUUACACCAAGGCUGGGAUGGUUUUUAAGGCAUUUCAUUGGAAACAGGUCUGAAAACUGCUAGAUCAGGGGCUUCCCAAAAUCUGUCCAGCAGAAGGAGCCAUAUCUAGGGACAGCUACUUUUAUAAGGGACAGGCUUCUGAUGUUCAGUCUGUUUCCCUGUGGUAAAACACAUGAGUAUACACCAUGUAGAAAAUCUUAUGCACUAUUCUUCUCUUUUUUAACCAGCUUCAAAUGAGCAUGAGGGAUAGACUUACCCAGGAUAGCAAAGCUACACAUUUUCUUAGAGGAUAUGCAUUAUAAACUAGGGAAGCCUGCUGCCCAGCACCCACAUCAAGGUAUAGAAGCGUAAUAACCUGACCCAGUGGAAUAAAAUAGAAAAUACUUGGUCUGGGAAUGGUAUACACACUCAUGCACACACACAUACAUAAGUAUAUAUAUAUAUAAUUGUCUAUAUAAAUAUAUAUAUACACAUAGGAUAUCAUUAUCACAGUUAACCUCAUAAUUGUCAAGUGAAGAAGGGAUUCCUAUCAGGUAGUUGAAAGAAUAGAUAAACUUAUGAGAUAUUUCCCAUGGUCCCACAGUUAAAGAGUGGACAAGGCAGGAUUAGAACUAGAUCUGGGUUCCUCAAGUACACGUGCCCUUGCUGUAGUAUACUCCCCAAAGAAAUGUAGAAACCAGAUUCCCUAUGAUGUAGGGUAGGAGGAAGAAUGCAGGGGAUCCAGAUCUGCAGAAGUUGCUGGGGGCAUCAUAGGAAAAUCUCAGAUGACAGGAAAUAGAAUGUUUGUAGUAGCCUCCUCAUUCCUAGCACAUAAGCACUGAUCCAGAUUAAUGUUGAUUAAACUUUUUCUGUGAAUUGCAAUAAUUAAUUUAAGAAGAAAUUAAUCCUCUUUAUAUAUUACUACCUUUGCUGAUCUUUGAAACAGACUAGCCUGAUUAAAGAAUCACAGAUUAUUUCUUAAUUUCAUAUUUUUG